Molecule: ribosomal RNA, 484 nt
Filed under: uncultured bacterium
Lineage: Bacteria
Description: partial 16S ribosomal RNA
Rfam family: Bacterial small subunit ribosomal RNA
Source: RNAcentral
AUUGAACGCUGGCGGCAGGCCUAACACAUGCAAGUCGAGCGGAUGAAGGGAGCUUGCUCCUGGAUUCAGCGGCGGACGGGUGAGUAAUGCCUAGGAAUCUGCCUGGUAGUGGGGGAUAACGUCCGGAAACGGGCGCUAAUACCGCAUACGUCCUGAGGGAGAAAGUGGGGGAUCUUCGGACCUCACGCUAUCAGAUGAGCCUAGGUCGGAUUAGCUAGUUGGUGGGGUAAAGGCCUACCAAGGCGACGAUCCGUAACUGGUCUGAGAGGAUGAUCAGUCACACUGGAACUGAGACACGGUCCAGACUCCUACGGGAGGCAGCAGUGGGGAAUAUUGGACAAUGGGCGAAAGCCUGACCCAGCCAUGCCGCGUGUGUGAAGAAGGUCUUCGGAUUGUAAAGCACUGUUAGUUGGGAGGAAGGGCAGUAAGUUAAUACCUUGCUGUUUUGACGGUACCAACAGAAUAAGCACCGGCUAACUUCGUG